UUGGACUAGAAGUACAGACACUCUUAACAAUGCAAUAAAUAAUUGGGAUUGUUAAGUACAAUGAAAAAAGGCACUACAACAAACAGCGAUGUUUAUAAAGAAACCAUUUCAAAGGUUUUUGUGGGAAAACCAUAUACUGCUACCGGUGCCUGCAAGUUCAAACAGUUGAAAAUCACUUAGGAGACCUAAGAUUUGCUUUUGAUGAUGACCUGAAAGUUGUUGUAUUUAACCAAGUUAAUUGGAGAUUCCUAUUCCCUGUACUGAGCAGGUUGUCAGAUCAGGAAGAAAUCAAGCUUUAAUUGCUAUUAUAUUUACAUAUUCGCACCUUAAAGUAAUUUUGAGACAAUUAUUAAAAAUGUAUCACUCAAAGAUCUACAAUCGGUUCCAAGAUCAUUCUACCAAUUAUAUACAAGGGACAACAUUUAUGUUUGUGCGACAUCUAACGUUGAAAAUGUAAUAUAGUACUGGCAUUUAUCCUUCUGGAUCUGUGGUAUCAAUAUGCCUCUAUCACAACCACUAAACUCAAUAGUGUUUUGGAGGUUAUGCUCAUAAUGUUUAUUAAAUAACUUAUUUUUGCUCGGUAAACAUUUACUUAGAUUGUGGAAUGGCUUGAAAAGGGGUGCCAAUGAAAGUACAUCAUAAUGUUUCAACCCUUUUUAUUGUUUACCCACCCUUUGAACAUCUGCUAAAAAAAGGGGUGAAAACGCUUUAAAAGCAUUACAACAAAAACAACAUAAGCUGCGAGGAGAGAAGCACUGUGUUAGGUGUACAUGCAAAUUAGUGCGAGUAUAUAAGCGGAAUGGUGAAACGAAACAUCGACGCACUCCCUGCCACGACCAUCCUCCUCCAAUCUGAAUGAACCCUUGUAUGAAAGGGGAAAACUUAAAAGGGUUUGUUCCCUAAAGUAAAAAAAGGGUUUUGUGUAUUAAAUUAUCUAAAAAAUAGGGUUGAAUCUGCGCAAGAGCUUUCGAAUGGAUUUCGUUUUAAAAUAAAGGGACGAUCCCUACUCGAAAUGUAUAUGCGUACUGCUGAUAUAGUCGGCAGUUUACUAGCAACACUCGGCAGGAGAACAUUGUAGUUUAUUAAACUUUUUUUCAUGUGCGUUGUACAAAGUAUUAUAUUAAGUUAUUCUAGUUUUAAGUGAAAUGUAAGUGCAUUUUCUCUGUUUUGUAAAUGUGAAGUGUCGCUCUCACGAGCAAUGAAGUUUGUUGAAUGAGGCUUACAUUAUCAAAUUCCUGCCUUUAAAAUAAGGUCUGAACAUUGAUAAAUAAGAGUUAUGUGAGUUUAUAUGUAGAAAUUUAUACAUUUCUGUAUUUAGACAUUUUAUCAUUUACAAGGAGCUACACUUUUGUUCUGCUAUUGAAUUGUUUUUGGUAUGUAUUUGCAGAAAGUUCUUAUUUACUGAUAAUUAUAAUUUCUGAUCCGUUA
Photinus pyralis (common eastern firefly) is the source of this 1428-nucleotide long non-coding RNA. RefSeq lists it as uncharacterized. The record is from RefSeq and is a predicted model, not a curated record. The transcript has 3 exons. NCBI's taxonomy places the organism in Eukaryota, Metazoa, Arthropoda, Insecta, Coleoptera, Lampyridae.